This 518-nucleotide ribosomal RNA is filed under the name Entomobrya sp. HB0852_3. RNAcentral's name for it is "partial 16S ribosomal RNA". It matches the Rfam family "Bacterial large subunit ribosomal RNA", at positions 1795 to 2620 of the family's 2925-position model. Lineage: Eukaryota; Metazoa; Arthropoda; Collembola; Entomobryomorpha; Entomobryidae. The record is from RNAcentral.
UCGACUGUUUUAACAAAAACAUUUUUUUUUGUUUUUUUAAAAAAUAAAGCCUGCCCACUGAAUAUUUUGAAGGGCCGCGGUAUUAUGACUGUGCUAAGGUAGCGUAAUCAUUAGUCUCUUAAUUAGGGAAUAGUAUGAAUGGUUAAACCUAGAGUUAUUUUGUUUAUUUAAGUAUUUGAAUUUUAGUUUAAAUUGAAAACUUUUUAAUAAAACAAAAAGACGAUAAGACCCUAUAGAGCUUAAUUUUUACUAAUAUUUAUUCUUUAGAGGGAAAGAAUAAAUACUAGUAAAAGUUUAGUUGGGGCAAUUUUAGAAUAAUAAAAACUUCUACAACUAUCUUUAAUUUAAAAAUUUAAAAAGUUACCUUAGGGAUAACAGCGUUAUAAUUUUAGAGAGUUCAUAUCGAUAAAAUUGUUUGCGACCUCGAUGUUGAAUUAAAAAAUCUUUUAUGGGGUAAGUUUUAAAAAAGAUGGUCUGUUCGACUAAUAAUAUUUUACAUGAUUUGAGUUCAGACCGGA